CUGUAUAUAAUUACAAAAGCAUUUCUCGUAGUGCUAAAAUUACAGUUGCUAAAGAAAUUACACAUCUUGGGGAAGGCCAAUGACUGCAGAGCAGCCGAAACGAAUAGAAAAAGUGAGAAAUAAGGCAACAAGGCGAUCGAGGAGAGAAAUGAGAAUUUGUACUUGAGUGGAAUUUUCUUCGCUUUCCUUCCCAGGGCAGCAAGAAAAACACCAACACAAACUCUCUCUGCUCAGAACAUGACGAACAACCUGUAAUACAAAAUUACUUCAAAAGAUUUAUCAACUCCCUCAGGCAUUCGAAGAUUGCGCAGCGGUGCCCAGAACAUUGCCUUGAAGAUCUUAAGAUUUACUUCCUAUUACAUUCCAUCCCGCCAUGUACUUUGAAAUUCUAUAU
This 394-nucleotide long non-coding RNA is filed under the name Drosophila guanche. The record is from RNAcentral. Lineage: Eukaryota; Metazoa; Arthropoda; Insecta; Diptera; Drosophilidae.